UGAGGAAUAUUGGUCAAUGGGGGAAACCCUGAACCAGCGACGCCGCGUGUGGGACGAAGGGGCUCUGCCCUGUAAACCACUGUUGAGAGGGAAGAAAAGCUUUUUGAAAAGCUGGGACUGUACCUCUUUAGAAAGGAUCGGCUAACUACGUGCCAGCAGCCGCGGUAAUACGUAGGAUCCAAGCGUUGUCCGGAAUUACUGGGUGUAAAGGGUGCGUAGGCGGGCUUGUGCGUCAGAGGUUAAAUCCCACGGCUCAACCGUGGAGCUGCCUUUGAUACGGCAAGUCUUGAGUAUGAGAGAGGAUGGUAGAAUUCCUGGUGUAGCGGUGAAAUGCGUAGAUAUCAGGAGGAAUACCGGUGGCGAAGGCGGCCAUCUGGCUCAUUACUGACGCUGAGGCACGAAAGCGUGGGGAGCGAACAGG
Molecule: ribosomal RNA, 421 nt
Filed under: uncultured Chlorobiota bacterium
Lineage: Bacteria; Pseudomonadati; Chlorobiota
Description: bacterial SSU rRNA
Rfam family: Bacterial small subunit ribosomal RNA
Source: RNAcentral